Molecule: ribosomal RNA, 467 nt
Filed under: uncultured bacterium
Lineage: Bacteria
Description: partial 16S ribosomal RNA
Rfam family: Bacterial small subunit ribosomal RNA
Source: RNAcentral
GACGAACGCUGGCGGCGUGCUUAACACAUGCAAGUCGAACGGAAAGGCCCUGCUUUUGUGGGGUGCUCGAGUGGCGAACGGGUGAGUAACACGUGAGUAACCUGCCCUUGACUUUGGGAUAACUUCAGGAAACUGGGGCUAAUACCGGAUAGGAGCUCCUGCUGCAUGGUGGGGGUUGGAAAGUUUCGGCGGUUGGGGAUGGACUCGCGGCUUAUCAGCUUGUUGGUGGGGUAGUGGCUUACCAAGGCUUUGACGGGUAGCCGGCCUGAGAGGGUGACCGGCCACAUGGGGACUGAGAUACGGCCCAGACUCCUACGGGAGGCAGCAGUGGGGAAUAUUGCACAAUGGGCGGAAGCCGGAUGCAGCAACGCCGCGUGCGGGAUGACGGCCUUCGGGUUGUAAACCGCUUUCGCCUGUGACGAAGCGUGAGUGACGGUAAUGGGUAAAGAAGCACCGGCUAACUACGU